Alligator mississippiensis (American alligator) is the source of this 519-nucleotide long non-coding RNA. RefSeq lists it as uncharacterized. The transcript has 3 exons. The record is from RefSeq and is a predicted model, not a curated record. Lineage: Eukaryota; Metazoa; Chordata; Crocodylia; Alligatoridae.
AACAGAAUUCAGAGGAAGAGAGGAAGGGGGGCAGCUAAGAAGCGUGAAUAUGCAGAGGCAGCAUUCCUGAGGAACUGUAGUUACUAUGUCUCCAGGUAGAAGAACCCAAACAAAUGUAUCUGCUGCUGUCAGUGGGUAUCAGCAAUGGAAGCUGAUGUUGAGUACUGUUUUGCUGAUUAAAGAAAGAAACAAGUCAUCACUUGACUGCCUAUUGCAAGACAUCUCUGGCCUUGACUGAUAAUAAAAAGGACUGAAUAGUACGAAGCCUAAGGAAUGAAGCUCAAUCACUCCCAGCAAUUACUGUGUCUUAUUGAUAACUUGCAGCUCUAUCCUGCAAAUGCCAUCUCUGGAACAAAGCCUGUCACAGAUCAGACUGAAUCCAUUAAAAAGCUUUGAUUAACAUGUCCCUGGGGUGUGCUGUGGAAACUUUUUACACCAAAUGACAGCCUAUUGCUACUGCUUCUGAAUUGUCCUCCUGAAAUACUCUUGUGUUUUAAUCUAGUGCACAGUUUAAAUUAA